CCGGAAGGAGGGGCAGCCCUCUCUCGCCUCCUGCUGGUCGCCGACCCUGGCCCGCAGGGCGACCGAGGUGGCUCUGGCGGAGGCCCUCGUCGGGCCCGGCCCUGGGACACUGAGACCCCAGGGCUCUGGCCAGAGACCGGUGGCCCCUCGGGUUCCUCCAGAAAAUGAGAACUAUCCAUUCCACGGCAAUUGGAUGAUUGAUUCCUCCUGAUGAGUUUUCCAGGUGACCCCAGUUUGAGUGACCCAGGUAUGUCCGGCACGGAGUCAGUGCCCCAGGGUGGAGGGACGGUCUGGGGAAAGGCUCCUGUGUGGUCGAACCCGCCCCGGGGUGGGUGCAACCUCGUACCAGGCAGCCCCACCUUGACCUAGAGUAAAUUCCCAAGGGAAGCCUUCCCUGGGUUUUGAAUUUGCAGUAACAGGUGUGAACAUUCUAGCAGCAGUUUGAUGAUCAUGUAUGAUACUGCAAACAGGACCUACCCAGCGAGGAGAAAAACAUUUUGUUUGUUGGUUUGUUUUUGUGGUACUGGCGACCGAACUCAGAACCUUGCACUUACUAAGCAGGCACUGCGCCACUGAGCUACAUCCCCAGCCCGAGAAAAACAUUUUGAACCGGAGACCAAGUAGUUUUCAAAAUCCUGUAAACCGUAUUGAUGUCAUUUGUUUCCUUUAAACGUUUAUUGAUAUUUUUGGUCAGGCACCAUACCAAGUAUGAGGGAUAUAGGGACGAGUAAAACAGUCACAGCUCUUGUUCUCAGGUAGCAAUAGCCCAGCUGGGGAAACAGGGUUAAAUGAUCACACGUAAGAGGGUGUAAUUCAAGCCAAGCUGAAUGCUCUGAAGGAAAGCACUGCCCUCUAGGGAUCUAUGUUGCAAAGAGCCUGGUGGAAACUGGAAAGCUUUCCUUAGGAGGAGACUUGAGCUGGACUCUGUUGGAUGAGUAGGAGUUGGCUGGCAAAACGGGACAGUGUGUGCGAGGGCCCUGUGGCCUUGCAAGUGUGGCUGGUGGAGGAACUGAAGGAAACCACUAGCUCAGAAGGCAAGCUGGAGAACAGUGUAGAACAAAGCCCAAAAGAUGGGGAAGGGCCAGACUGCACAGGGCCUGUGGCUCAUGUGAGGAUUUUGGGUUUUUGUCCUAAAAACUGUGAGAUACCACUGCAGGUUUUAAGUAAAAAGAAGAUAUGUGUAACUCUGAUUUCAAAAGACUGCUGUGUAAGAACAAAAGUGCUGUCCAACAGAACUCCCAGUACUGGUGGAAAUGGGCUGUCUGGGCUGUUUAGAGCAGCCACAGUGACUGAGCAUUUGAAGUGUAGCUGGUGUGGCUGAUGUGCCGAGUUUUUAAAUUUUAACUCAAAUGUUAAUACCCAAACAUGACUGGUGGCCUCUGGGUGGGACAGUACAGGUCUGCACGUGUUGGAAGGAGUGGUGACCUUUGGUAGUGACAGAGACAGCGUCCAGUUCCCAGAGAACCUCAUAACAAUUUCUCCUUGGAAACAGUGGAAUUUUUAACGUUUAUUUUCUUGGCUGUAGUACAACCUGCUUCUCCAUGAAGCAGCAUCCUUCCUUCUCCUGGCUGUUCAUUUGGUUGUCAGCACCCAGAUCGAGAUGUCCCUAUCCACAGCAAAUUUAAGUACUUAAAGUGGCCACAUUCUCUGUCAGACACCUUGGGAGGAAUGUAAAGAAAAGUACAGUCCUCCCUGGGGAUGUAUCUCAGUGGUACAACCUGUGGUCAGCAUAGGCAAAGCCCUGGGUUCAAUCUCCGGCACCAAAAAAGAAAAGUAUGUCCAGGUACAGUGAUACUGGUCUCUAAUUCUACUACUCAGGAGGCUGAUGCAGGAGGAUCACAAGCUUGAGGCCAGUCUAGGCAACUUAGUGAUACUCUGUCUCAAAUUAAAUUUUAAAAAAUACUAGGGAUGUUGCUUAAUGGAAGAGCAAGUAUGGAGACCUGGGUUCAAUCCCCAGUAUCACAAAGGUGGGCGGGUGCCUGAUGUUGGAAACUAGAAUCCAUUGAGGGAGAUAUCAGUAAAUGCUGUGGGACAAGGAGCAUUUUCAGUGGGGCCCAUCCCAGACAUCACAGUCUGGGUGGAAAGUGGAUUUCCAGCUUGGGAGAGUGUUCCAUGGCACCAACAGUUUUAAAUGUUCAGACUCAGUAAAGGAGGAUAAACUGACAAAGUGUACUUUCUUUGCAGGUCAGUUUCCUGGGAGAUGGGUGCAUAUGCUGCGUGAAAAUAUGGUUUCGGUUCUGCUGGUUCUGUGUCAUUGUUUUGAUUUAGGGCCUUCCAGGUUGGUUUCUUUCCUUGAGACGGGGUCUCUCUGUGUAGUCCAGGCUCACGUCAAACUCAUCAUGUGGCCCAGGCUGGCCUCAGACCCACAGUGAUCCUCUCGUGUCAGCCUCCCAAGUGCUGAGAUGACAGUGUGCACCACCAUGCCUGGCUUGGUUUCAUUCUUCACCAUGUGCUCUGUGAGACGGAUAUAAAUAAAUGGAGUCCAAACCCAAAGAGUCGUUGUGCACUCUGUGAUUUCUAAGCCCAGUGGUUCUGUGUGUGUGUGGCCUCCACUGCUGAGAUACACACUCAGUAGCACUGUCUCCAGCUUUUUUUUUUUUUUUUUUUCUUUUGGUACCGGG
This is a long non-coding RNA of Heterocephalus glaber (naked mole-rat), 2621 nucleotides long. NCBI's taxonomy places the organism in Eukaryota, Metazoa, Chordata, Mammalia, Rodentia, Bathyergidae. The record is from Ensembl.